CUCAAACCCACGGACUGUGAGACCAUGCCCUGAGCCAAAGUCUGAUGCUCAACCAUCUGAGCCAUCCAGGUGCCCGGAGUCUCCAUCUUAAAAGCAAGAGCAACCCUGUGUCCCUGUUGUAACCAGACUUGUUGUAAUUAAUAUUCUUGAUUAGGUUCUUCUAAAAAAUGGAUAGAAGUGGAUGAGGUGAAAAGUAAGAACCUAUUUUCCUGUCAGUCUUUCACCUUCACUCCUUGAGCUCUUGGUUGAUCUGCUGUUCACAAUCUUUUGUCCCUCUCGAUGUGUCCUGUGUAUACAUGGGACUUGUCUUUCAACAGGUUAAAUGUUGAGAUUGUUUAUAAGAUCACAGUGACUGAGAAGUCUGAGCUGUGUUCUCUCUCAUGGGGCUGGGAGCCUGUUCGUGAAGCUGUAAGAGAAAGCAUGAUCUUCCUUAUUGAAAUAUUUUAUUGAGGACUUUCCCUAGAAGAGUUUCUUUACUUGAAAAGCUAACUUGGAGUGCUUACUAUAUGCCAGGCAUGGUUCUGAGCAGUUGACAUGUAUUAAAUCAUUUCUUUCCCCAAUACUUAACCCACUUGGACAUGAGAAAUCUGCUAGGUUGGGUGGCUCCUGCCUCACUGAGCAUCUCCCCCUUCGGUGAGCGCCAUGUCCAUACUGAUGUGAAUGGCCGAGGCCUGGAAUCUGGAACUCUCUGUGGCUGUUACAACCAUCAUCAGCAGCACUACACUCAUCAUACCUGGCCUUUAAUUUUGGCCCUAUCAUGGCCUUCCUGGAUUUCCUGAAUUAUGAGGCAAAUUGGCAUCCUGUCCUAUAUGGCUCUUGCCCUUGGCUGCAUGUUGGAGACAUCUGGAGAAUAAAUGUUCUGUGUGAUCUGUAGUUUGGGUUUAAGAAGUAGGUGGGGUGUGGGCAAGGGGAGUUUGAAAACAACCCCGCCAGGUGGUUUGGAUGAGCGCAUUAGGCUUGGGAACUCGCAGGUGUAGAUCAGUGAUUUGAAGGCUGAGAUUGAAGUGGUCCUGGGCUGUUCUUGGCGGUCAGCGUCUUGUUUGCAUCCCUUUCAAAGUUCAAACCUGGAGAUGCUUCCCUAGAAGGUUAGGUUUGUGUUCUCACAUCUGCUUUUUCACGCAUGUGGGAUCAUGCUGCUAUAAUCUACAUUUUUGCCACAUGCAUUUAUUAUUAUUUUUAAAUGUUUGUGUUUGAGAGGGGGAAGGAGCAGAGAAAGGGGGACAGAGGAUUUGAAGCCAACUCCACGUUGACAGCUUCAGCACAGUGAUCCCGAUGUGGGGCUCGAACUCACAAACUGUGCGAUCAUGACCUGAGCUGUAGUUGAAUGUUCAACCGACUGAGCCACCCAUGUACCCCUGCCACAUAUGUUUAAAAGCAGAGUUAUUUCAUCAUACAGAGUUUAAAUAAAAAUGUAUAUCCCUGCACCUGUUGUGCAGUGAAACACUGCUGACACAUUUGCAUCCAUAUUUGUCCCCUGCCCCAAAUAUGUGCCCCUCCUUUUGGAGGUGAUUGCUGCAGAUUCUGAUUUUUUUCUUUCUUUCUUUUUUAAUGUUAUAUUUAUUUUCAAGAGAGUGCAGGUGAGGGUGAGGGACAGUGAGAACGGGGACAGAGGAUCUGAAGCAGGCUCUGUGCUGA
This is a long non-coding RNA of Hyaena hyaena (striped hyena), 1635 nucleotides long. RefSeq lists it as uncharacterized. The record is from RefSeq and is a predicted model, not a curated record. The transcript is spliced from 2 exons. NCBI's taxonomy places the organism in Eukaryota, Metazoa, Chordata, Mammalia, Carnivora, Hyaenidae.